Zophobas morio is the source of this 334-nucleotide long non-coding RNA. RefSeq lists it as uncharacterized. NCBI's taxonomy places the organism in Eukaryota, Metazoa, Arthropoda, Insecta, Coleoptera, Tenebrionidae. The record is from RefSeq and is a predicted model, not a curated record. The transcript is spliced from 4 exons.
AGUUUUCCGAGGAUGUUUGUAUGGCUCUUCUAGUGCAAUAUCUUCAAUUCUUUUUUCCUGAUACUUCUCCAGAUCUUGAACGAGCUAACAACCAAACAACCGCGGUAUUGUGUACAACCGAACUUCGAGACGCCUUUUUAUUUGCUGUUGUUGAGUACUUUUUAGCCCGCCAAAAACUACAAUCGUUGCCACCAACUCCAGUCGGACAACUUUUUGCUUUAAUUCUAAUUACUCGCAAGUUAAAUAAUUAUUUUAAAAAUCGGCUGAAUGAAAGGGGAAAACUUGGGGAGCUCAAUAAUAUUUCUCAGGAAGAAAUACAAAAUUUAGUGUACAA